This 254-nucleotide ribosomal RNA is filed under the name uncultured bacterium. RNAcentral describes it as "partial 16S ribosomal RNA". It matches the Rfam family "Bacterial small subunit ribosomal RNA", at positions 524 to 776 of the family's 1533-position model. The record is from RNAcentral.
UACGAAGGGUGCUAGCGUUGUUCGGAAUCAUUGGGCGUAAAGCGUACGUAGGCGGUUUAGUAAGUCAAUUGUGAAAUCCCAGAGCUUAACUUUGGAAUUGCAAUUGAAACUGCUAUGACUAGAGUGUGGUAGGGGAUAGUGGAAUUCCUAGUGUAGGGGUGAAAUCCGUAGAUAUUAGGAGGAACACCGGUGGCGAAAGCGACUAUCUAGGCCAUCACUGACGCUAAGGUACGAAAGCGUGGGGAGCAAACAGG